CUCUGUGUGGUGUAGUGGUUUGAGCAUUGAACUAUGACUCUGGAGACCAGGGUUCGAUUCCCCACUUGGCCA
This 72-nucleotide transfer RNA is filed under the name Phrynosoma platyrhinos (Desert horned lizard). Its description in RNAcentral is "tRNA-OTHER". Lineage: Eukaryota; Metazoa; Chordata; Lepidosauria; Squamata; Phrynosomatidae. The record is from RNAcentral.